RNAcentral lists this unclassified non-coding RNA (2576 nucleotides) under Hevea brasiliensis (rubber tree). The record is from RNAcentral. Lineage: Eukaryota; Viridiplantae; Streptophyta; Magnoliopsida; Malpighiales; Euphorbiaceae.
AUUUUUUUAUCAUUCUCUGCAAUCCGGCAUUGUCGUUACUCGUCACUGGACACGUGGACACUACCUCCGUCACAUUACAGAUUCCAUCCCCGACUGAACAAGCACUGAAACCGGGCAAUACCCAGAUCCUUCUCUAGCUCUACCUCCACCUACUCGUUAUCCAGAUCCCAAAAAUUUCCACUUUACAUCCACAUCCCAACAAUGGGCGGUAAAUCCUAUGUUUUUUUGUUUGCUUGGUUUUCUCGGAAAAGGGUUUCUAAUGAUAGCAAGUGAUGAUUCCACAGGUACCAAAUCGGGUUGCCAUAGUUCCAGUCUAUGGCUGUCUCCUAACCGCAGUAAGAGAUGGGGAGAGCUUUUCUUCCUUUGCUAUACUCCUUUCUGGCUUACUCUCUGUCUGGGCAUUGUGGUUCCCUACAAGCUCUAUGAGAGCUUUACGGAAUUGGAGUAUUUGCUUCUGGCUAUGGUUUCGGCAGUUCCUUCUUUAUUGAUACCAAUGAUGUUUGUUGGAAAGGCUGAUAGUGGCUUGAGGUGGAAGGACCGUUAUUGGGUCAAGGCCAGCCUGUGGAUAAUCAUUUUCAGCUAUGUUGGAAAUUACUUUUGGACACACUAUUUCUUUACAGUUUUGGGAGCUUCUUAUACAUUUCCAUCAUGGAAGAUGAAUGAUGUACCCCACACAACUUUCCUUCUUACACAUGUUUGCUUCCUGUUUUACCAUGUCGCCUCAAAUAUGACACUUCGCAGACUGCGGCAUGCUAUUGCAGACUUGCCAGAUAAACUUCAGUGGACUACUAAGGCAGCAUGGAUUUUGGCUCUUGCAUAUUUUAUAGCAUACCUGGAGACUAUAGCCAUUUCUAAUGUAUGUGCUAACUUGGUUCUUAGUCUACGUUAUUAUUUAGAACUUUUUUUUAUCUAACCAUAAAAGAAGCACAUUUCAGGCUAAUAUAUAGAUUGGCCAAUAGAGAAUAUGCUCUGUUUUAUAUCGCCAGGGCUUUAGUUUUAUCUCUUAAUAGUCAUGAAGCUCCUUGAUUUGUGGCAUGAGCUUAUAGAAAGCUAACCCUAGUGCUCAUUGUCCUCCUCAUUUUGUUAUGUUCCUUUUUUUUUUCUCUUUUGGGUGAUAGGGGGUGGUUUCCAUCCUUAACUAGAUGUGUGGAUUUUUUUAGAUUUCAUUUUAUACGAUGCUAUGCACAGUCUUUGUAGUUGGUGUAAUUCAUAACAAUUCUGGUUUUCUGUAAAAUUACUACCACUCUUGAAGUCUUAACUGUGCAACUUGUUGCUAACAUGUGAAUUAAGGCGUCAUUUGUAUCACGGAAAAUAAAUUAUAUGUGGAAAAUGUUUUUCAUGACAAUUGUGUUAUAAUAAAAUGUUUUCCAUUGUUUAGUUGCUAUGUUUAACGAAUAAUAUGUGUUUAUGCCAUGCCUGUAUGAGUGUUUUUACAUUUUAAUAAAAUUGUCAAAAUCCAUGAAAUGGCUUAUUCUUUUCAAAAGAAGAAGUUAUUUUCUUAAACAUGACUUAAUUUUCCUUUUGAGAAAAAAAAAAAAUUUCCAUUGAUUCAUUUUUCUAAACACUGGAAAAUGCGAAAAAUAUUUUCCACAAAACAAACUCAAUCUAAGGCAUUGACAAACGUUAUGUUUUGAAUGUGUGCAGUUUCCUUACUAUGAAUUUGUGGACCGGGCUUCCAUGUACAAAGUUGGGUCCUUGUUUUAUGCCAUCUACUUCAUUGUAAGCUUCCCAAUGUUUCUGAGGUAAGAAGUAAACCUACUAAGAAAUUUUGAAUAUCUGGUCAUUUCUGUAGCUUGUAAUGCCUUUCGGUAUGCUAAUAUCAUUUGCAUUGUAGGAUAUGCAUGAUAACUAUUGACACUACAUACAUGUGUUAAUUUGUGGAAAUUAUGGAAUGAUAUUCUCAGCUUAAUCUGCUUCAGCUCAUGGUAAAAUUUGUAAUGUUGUGUUCGUGCAGUUAGUGAUGUUACAUGGUCCCCUUGUACUGUAUUUAUUGGUGUUAAAAAGGAUGGUUCAUGAUAUUUUUUUUUUCUUUCUUUAAAAAACACAAUGAUAAGAAAACAUCAAGUUGAAAAAAGGAAAAUGGAAUGAUUGGAGUAAAGAGGUAGUCUGACUCUUUCUUUUGGGAUUCACUGAUGCACACAGGAUCGAUGAGAAACCUGGUGACCUGUGGGACUUACCAAGAGUGGCUGUCGAUGCUCUGGGUGCUGCAAUGCUAGUAACAAUAAUACUUGACUUGUGGAGAAUCUUUCUUGGACCCAUUGUUCCACAACGCGAUGCAAAACAAUGCCUUCAACAAGGACUGCCAUGGUUUCAUGGACAUGCCAAUGAAACUUGAUUACUGUAACUCACUGUGGAAGUUUCCUGCUCUUGAUGUUGUAAAUUUAACUGUAACUUGCUAAUUUAUAUGAGACCAGUGGCUAUUUCCAUAUCAUGGAUGCUUCAGCUUAGGCUUGCUUGCCCUGAAAUUUACAACAGUAAUUUUCAUGACUGAUGUUUUGUCCAAUUAAUAAUUUUUGAUGUUUGUUAAUCAGCUCUUAUUGGUAAACUAAUUACGUGAAAUCAAAGUUGUGAAUUUC